This 539-nucleotide ribosomal RNA is filed under the name uncultured euryarchaeote. Its description in RNAcentral is "bacterial SSU rRNA". It matches the Rfam family "Archaeal small subunit ribosomal RNA", at positions 338 to 876 of the family's 1478-position model. Lineage: Archaea; Methanobacteriati; Methanobacteriota. The record is from RNAcentral.
GGCGCGAAAACUUUACAAUGCAGGAAACUGUGAUAAGGGAACACCGAGUGCUCGCAUCAAAUGCGGGCUGUCCAACAUACCUAAAUCGUAUGUGUUAGCAAGGGCCGGGCAAGACCGGUGCCAGCCGCCGCGGUAAUACCGGUGGCCCGAGUGGUAGCCGCUUUUAUUGGGUCUAAAGGGUCCGUAGCCUGUCUGAUCAGUCCAUUGGGAAAUCCGGAUGCUCAACAUCCGGGCUUCCAGUGGAUACUGUCAGACUUGGGAUCGGGGGAGGUAAGAGGUACUACAGGGGUAGGAGUGAAAUCUUGUAAUCCUUGUGGGACCACCUGUGGCGAAGGCGUCUUACCAAAACGAGUCCGACGGUGAGGGACGAAAGCUGGGGGCACGAACCGGAUUAGAUACCCGGGUAGUCCCAGCCGUAAACGAUGCUCGCUAGGUGUCAGGCAUGGCGUGACUGUGUCUGGUGCCGAAGGGAAGCCGUGAAGCGAGCCACCUGGGAAGUACGGCCGCAAGGCUGAAACUUAAAGGAAUUGGCGGGGGAG